UACGUAGGUGGCAAGCGUUGUCCGGAUUUAUUGGGUUUAAAGGGUGCGUAGGCGGUUGAUUAAGUCAGUUGUGAAAUACGAUAGCUCAACUAUCGAGGUGCAAUUGAUACUGUCGACUUGAGUACAGACGAGGUAGGCGGAAUUGACGGUGUAGCGGUGAAAUGCUUAGAUAUCGUCAAGAACACCUAUAGCGAAGGCAGCUUACUAGGCUGUAACUGACGCUGAGGCACGAAAGUGUGGGGAUCAAACAGG
This 252-nucleotide ribosomal RNA is filed under the name uncultured bacterium. RNAcentral's name for it is "partial 16S ribosomal RNA". It matches the Rfam family "Bacterial small subunit ribosomal RNA", at positions 524 to 776 of the family's 1533-position model. The record is from RNAcentral.